AUCAGGUUUUCCCGGGGCACGGAGGAGAUUCUCUGAACAACUCCGGGGGAAUGUUGAGAGACCCCUGGUCCGGGUUUGGGGGGGGGGGGGCGGACAGCAGCGUUCCGAAGGCCCAGGGCUAUUUGUUACUGACCCCACUUGACGGAAGGGGAAACCGAGCCUCCACAGGAGUGUGAUCAGGGCGGCCAGGCCUCUGCACCCCCGGGCCACCUCACGCCACGUCCAUCGUUAAAAGGCGUCUCGGGGCCUCCCCGCUGUGCCCGUGACAGACCCCAAAGGAGGAUCUUGCGGUGGAGGUUGUCGCUGGGGGGCGUCCGAGGCAGAGUCCAGCCAGGCCCUUCCUUCCAGGGGGCAAGCAGAGCAGAAAGAGCUCGGCUGGGCCGCCCCGAGGCCCUCUGGGUAAAGGCCGGCCGCAGUCCCCAGGGGCCUCCCCUCCCCCCAGCCAGGCUCCACAGCCCGGGAUCCCUCUCCCUCCCGCCAUCCGCCAUCCCCGGCUCCGGCUGGCCCCGCCCGCCCACUUGGCUGGUCCGGGAGGCACGUGCCCCGCCCCGCCCCGCCCAGCCCCCACGCCCAUCUCCGGCGGCACCCUCGCUUUCCCAGGGGGCGCUGGGCGGGGUGAAUGUAAACUGCUUGGAGCGCCUGCCUGGCCGGGUGAGCCUGCACAAGUCACUUGUCCCCGGCGCACCAGGCCAGGCCGCUCCUUCCCCACCCUGCGGGCAAAGAGGAAAGAGCCCGCGGCCGGGGGCGGGGCGCCGCAGGGAGCCUGGGCCCUCGGCUUCCCAGACCCAGACCGUGAAGCGGAACAUCCACACACACCAGCCACAAGGAGCUCGCCGCCCCCAGACGUCACGCACGCACGCACGCUCCGAAGGCAGCGUGGUCGUCACCAUGGUCACCAAGAAGCUUCGCACCCAAGACUGGCCGUGAGGCCAGGCGCAUGCGCAAGACAACCUCUAUUCCCCGGGCCACGCUCCCGCACACGUGUGCGCGGAAGCGGCCGUCCACAGAAGACUGAGCCGCGACACGAACCGCCAAGCUCUCCUCCAAGGAAGCGCUGUGGAAAAGCUCUCCCUGGCUCACCUGUCUCCGUCACGCUCACACUCACCUCCGGCCAGGGAACCGCGAGCCUCUAUGGCGCACCUAGGAAAGGAAAGCCGGGACUCGGAGGGAACACGAGGUCAUCCCUUCGCCAAUCAGGCACGAAGCGUCCCGUUUCUAUGGCAACUUCCGGGGGUUACAUACACUAACCAAUAGAAAGGCGAGAAAAGCAAGCUGCCCCGCCCUCCUACUGCUCCCCGCUCCACGUAGGCGGAGCCCAGAGCCAGACGCGUGUAGAGGGCCGGGCUGACCCCAUAGCAACCACGCUACUUAGCGCGGUUAUUCCUUCACUACAGCGACCACCUUGCGAUGCUCCCCCGGGACCGGCAUCUCCACGCGCCCCGUUAGCACCCCUCCUCCCCUGCGGCCCUUCCCGCGCCUCGGUUUACCCAACAGGGAGCACGGGGUAGGACUGCAGGUCUCUGCUCCGUCCCUCUGGGAAAAGCAUUACUAGGCCCCGCGCUCCGCCCCGGAACCCUGCGGAGGCCCUUCCAGGAUUCCGCCGAGCGCCAUCCCCCCACCCUGCCGAGAAGGGGCGGGGCUCCUCCUGGAGCUCACGUGCUCCCCCCGGCCGAAGCCUUCUCAGUUCCGGUCAGGGCGCGUUUGCUGGGGAGGGAAGGGACUUAGAAGCACCCAGGGGAGCCGGCCAUGGGCCCAGGACCGCGGCUCGGGCUCCGACUCCGGGCUGGCCGCUGCCCCAUCUGCCCUGACACCCGAGAGUCCUUUCUUUCUGCCCCGGGGCUAGAGGGCGCCACUGGGGGGACAGGCCGGCUUCCUCCCGACUGCCUGAAGCUGCCCCUUCCCCUUGGUUACUCCCUCCCAGCCUGGGGCCCCGGAGGCAGGCACUCGCCCCCCUGCCAUCCCCAUUUUACAGCUGGGCACACUGAGGCAGGCAGCCCCAAUUCCUAACAUUUGGGCUUAGAGAAGGGCCCCUAAUGUCGCUGGGGAUUGGAAGCCAGCCUGGCCUGGGCCUGGGGCUGCUGCGGAGAUCUCCAAUUGUUGACCUCCCACGCGGGGCAUCCUGGGGAGGAAGAAACCCAGGAGGCCUGGGGGUCCGGUGACUUGCCCAAGGCCACACAGCAGGAAGUGCAUCUUAUUAGGGGCCAGGACUGUGCCAGGACUGUGCCAGUGCUGAGCCGGAAAGACCUCCAGGGCUUUCAGGAAGCCCCCAGGGCGGGAGCUGGGCCAAUCCUGGCUGAGGCUUUGUCCACCCAGAGGGCAGAUGGAAGGGGCUGGGGUCAGGGGUCUGGACAGCUGUCAUGGAGACAAAGGGGUGCAGCAGCUGGCCGGAAGCCCCAGGGAGGCCUCUGGGUAAAGGCAGCGGCUUGGUGGCCAGAAUCCUUUCCCAGGACGAGGCCCAAACAGACAGCUCCCAAGGCUCCUUCUGCCCCCCAAAUGCCAGGCCUUCCCCCGUGUGGGCCCCAGGGUGCCAAGGAGGGGGUGAGGUGGCCCCACCAGGGGCACUGCAGGAGCCUCAGGCUCCCCACCUGUGAGAUGGGGAGAAAGGCCGGCAGCCAACCCCAGCCCCUCCUUGGGCCCACUCCCCCAUGCUGGGUGUCCUUGGUGGGCCAGAGAGAACCUUGGGGAAAGCCCCGACCCACCUGCUUCCCUUCCAAAGGCUUCAUCUGGAGGCCAGGAAGCCCCUCCUACAGUCCAGGGCCAGGCUGGGGAGCCUCCAGGAGGUUUGGGGGGGAUCCGAAGCGGGGAGUGUGGUCCUCUUUGGGCUGGAUUCUCCCUGGCCAUGGCCGUGGGCAUCCCGCUGAGAGAAGAGAUGACUGAGGGCUGUGGGGCCUCAGCUCUUGGCCCUGGAGAGUGUGAAAGGCCAUUCUGGGUUCUCUUUGUCUCUUCUGGGUUGCCUCUGCCUCGUUGGAGCUAACACUCUGGUAGCACUCACUUAAGUACCUCCCUGGAGUGUGAGGCCAGGAUUCCCUCUCCUUUGUCUACUUUGAAUCAAUUGCCACAAGCUAGUCUACUGUCAAACUGGGCGACAGCUAAGCCAGGCAGGGCUGGACAGGUUGGAAGCUGUGAUUGGCCUGUAGUCCCUGGGCUGGGGCAGGCUGCUGAAGGGGAGUCUCCUGGAGAUAGUCUCCAAGGGAGGGAGUGUGUGAAAGGCCGACUCCUUUCCUAGCUUCUGGAGAGACUAGCUUCUACCCUGGAGGAGGCCGUGCGGUGACUGGGACUCCUGUAGGUAAUUUCUCUAACCUCUCACAGUUCCCUGCCUUAGUGUUUCCCCUCUAGUUUGGGAAAUAAACUUCUGGCUUGAGAUAUUUCA
Molecule: long non-coding RNA, 3370 nt
Organism: Monodelphis domestica (gray short-tailed opossum)
Lineage: Eukaryota; Metazoa; Chordata; Mammalia; Didelphimorphia; Didelphidae
Source: Ensembl